GAUGAACGCUGGCGGCGUGCCUAAUACAUGCAAGUCGAGCGAACGGACGAGAAGCUUGCUUCUCUGAUGUUAGCGGCGGACGGGUGAGUAACACGUGGAUAACCUACCUAUAAGACUGGGAUAACUUCGGGAAACCGGAGCUAAUACCGGAUAAUAUUUUGAACCGCAUGGUUCAAAAGUGAAAGACGGUCUUGCUGUCACUUAUAGAUGGAUCCUCGCUGCAUUAGCUAGUUGGUAAGGUAACGGCUUACCAAGGCAACGAUGCAUAGCCGACCUGAGAGGGUGAUCGGCCACACUGGAACUGAGACACGGUCCAGACUCCUACGGGAGGCAGCAGUAGGGAAUCUUCCGCAAUGGGCGAAAGCCUGACGGAGCAACGCCGCGUGAGUGAUGAAGGUCUUCGGAUCGUAAAACUCUGUUAUUAGGGAAGAACAUACGUGUAAGUAACUGUGCACAUCUUGACGGUACCUAAUCAGAAAGCCACGGCUAACUACGUG
RNAcentral lists this ribosomal RNA (497 nucleotides) under uncultured bacterium. RNAcentral describes it as "partial 16S ribosomal RNA". It matches the Rfam family "Bacterial small subunit ribosomal RNA", at positions 28 to 507 of the family's 1533-position model. The record is from RNAcentral.